CGCAAGUCUGAUGCAGCGACGCCGCGUGCGCGAUGAAGGCCUUCGGGUUGUAAAGCGCUGUCGAGGGGGAGGAACGCCCGCAAGGGUUUGACCUAUCCCUGGAGGAAGGACGGGCUAAGUUCGUGCCAGCAGCCGCGGUAAGACGAACCGUCCAAACGUUGUUCGGAUUCACUGGGCGUAAAGGGCGCGUAGGCGGGCACGUACGCCCGGAGUGAAAUCUGUCGGCUUAACCGGCAGACGGCUCCGGGUACGGCGUGUCUGGAGGGAGGCAGGGGUCUGUGGAACUUCCGGUGGAGCGGUGAAAUGCGUUGAUAUCGGAAGGAACGCCGGUGGCGAAAGCGACAGACUGGACCUCUUCUGACGCUGAGGCGCGAAAGCCAGGGGAGCGAACGGGAUUAGAUACCCCGGUAGUCCUGGCCCUAAACGAUGGGUACUAGGUAGCGGACUUGACAUGGGUUCCCUGCCGAAGCCAACGUGGUAAGUACCCCGCCUGGGGAGUAUGGUCGCAAGGCUGAAACUCAAAGGAAUUGACGGGGGCUCACACAAGCGGUGGAGCAUGUGGCUUAAUUCGAGGCUACGCGAAGAACCUUAUCCUGGGCUUGACAUGUGCGAAAGCGCCGGGGAGUAGGGGGCGGAAACGUUCCCCCAACGGUAUCCAGUCCGGAACCCGGUACAGGUGCUGCAUGGCUGUCGUCAGCUCGUGUCGUGAGAUGUCGGGUUAAGUCCCAUAACGAGCGAAACCCUUGUCUCCAGUUGCCAGCGGGUCAUGCCGGGGACUCUGGAGAGACUGCCGGUGUUAAACCGGAGGAAGGCGGGGAUGACGUCAAGUCCUCAUGGCCUUUAUGUCCAGGGCUGCACACGUGCUACAAUGGCGUGAACAGAGGGAUGCCAACGCGCAAGCGGGAGCCAAUCCCAAAAAACACGCCCCAGUUCAGAUCGCAGGCUGCAACUCGCCUGCGUGAAGUUGGAAUCGCUAGUAAUCGCGGGUCAGCAACACCGCGGUGAAUGUGUUCCUGAGCCUUGUGCACACCGCCCGUCAAGCCACGAAAGAUCGGGGCGUCCGAAGUCGCCGCACUAAGCCGGCGCCGAAGACGAAACGGUCGAUUGGGACUAAGUCGUACAAGGUAACCGUA
RNAcentral lists this ribosomal RNA (1133 nucleotides) under uncultured bacterium. RNAcentral's name for it is "bacterial SSU rRNA". It matches the Rfam family "Bacterial small subunit ribosomal RNA", at positions 376 to 1504 of the family's 1533-position model. The record is from RNAcentral.